This 1161-nucleotide long non-coding RNA is filed under the name Homo sapiens (human). RNAcentral's name for it is "THUMPD3 antisense RNA 1". The record is from RNAcentral. Lineage: Eukaryota; Metazoa; Chordata; Mammalia; Primates; Hominidae.
GAGAAGAGGCUGUGCUUCGGCGCUCCGGCUCCUCAGAGAGCCUCGGCUAGGUGUGGAAACAGGAAGAGAACUAGAACUGGAAGUAAAGCAUUGAAGAUGUGACUGAAUUGCUGCAAUCUCAUGAUCAAAUUUGAAUGGAUGAGGAGUUGCUUUUUAGGGAUGAGCAAAGAAAGUGGUUUCUCGAGAUGGAAUCUACUGGUGAAGUUGCUGUGAACAUUGUUAAAAUGCCAAUAAAGGAUUUAGGAAUUACAGAAACCUGGUUGAUAAAGCAGUGCCAGGGUGUGAGAGAGUUGACUUCAAUUUUGAAAUAAGUUCCACUGGCUGGGUGUGGUGGCUCACACCUGCAAUCCCAGUACUUUAGGAGGCCGAGACUGGUAGAUCAUUUGAGGUCAGGAGUUCAAGACCAGCCUUGCCAACAUGGUGAAACCCCACCUCUACCAAAUUAGCCAGGUGUGGUGCACACCUGUAGUCCCAGCUACUUGGGAAGCUGAGGCAGGAGAAUCUCUUGAACCAGGGAGGAGGAGGUUGCAGUAAGCCGAGAUGGCGCCCCUGCACUCCAGCCUGGGUGACAGAGUGAGACCUUGCGUUUAAAAAAAAAAAAAAAGGAAAAGGAAAAAAAAGUUCUACUGUGGGUAAAAUGCUAUCAUGCUAUCAAACAGCAUCACAUGCUACAGAGAAGUCUUGUGAAAGGAUGUCAGUGUGGCAAACUUCAUUGUCUUUUAAGAAAUUGCCACAGCUAUCGUAAUCUUCAACCACCACCACCCUGAUGAGUCAGUAGCCAUCGUUAACGUUGGCGUUGCUCCUUGAGGGCAGGACAGUUCUUAUGGCUUUAUCCGUUGCGUAAGCACAGAGAGGUCUGCGAGGUCAAAACUAUUGUCAUGAUAGCAAGAUGCCUGUCUUUUUCAUUUAUUCUCACGGUGUGCAGAGGCUACAUGAUGUGUGAUGACAUCCUCAUUGAUGUUAAUGAAUGGUGCUAUACUUGAAUUUUCUAAGGUGUCAUUAGGUAGGUUUAGGUAUGCAUACUUGUUUUUAGAAAUUAUUUUUUUCCUUUUUCCCAUUUUUAGAAAUCAACUCAUUUUUUAGGUUAUGCCUUCAGUAAUCUUUGCAACCUCAAUAUUGUGUAAUGGUUACUUUAAAAUACUGUAGUUUUCUUUGUGCCUA